RNAcentral lists this ribosomal RNA (253 nucleotides) under uncultured bacterium. Its description in RNAcentral is "partial 16S ribosomal RNA". It matches the Rfam family "Bacterial small subunit ribosomal RNA", at positions 524 to 776 of the family's 1533-position model. The record is from RNAcentral.
GACGAACCGUGCGAACGUUGUUCGGAUUCACUGGGCUUAAAGGGCGCGUAGGCGGGUGACCAAGUCAGGGGUGAAAUCUUUCGGCUCAACCGGAAAAGUGCCCCUGAUACUGGUCGUCUCGAGGGAGGUAGGGGCAUGUGGAACUUCCGGUGGAGCGGUGAAAUGCGUAGAUAUCGGAAGGAACGCCGGUGGCGAAAGCGACGUGCUGGACCUUUCCUGACGCUGAGGCGCGAAAGCCAGGGGAGCAAACGGG